RNAcentral lists this ribosomal RNA (253 nucleotides) under uncultured bacterium. Its description in RNAcentral is "partial 16S ribosomal RNA". It matches the Rfam family "Bacterial small subunit ribosomal RNA", at positions 524 to 776 of the family's 1533-position model. The record is from RNAcentral.
UACGUAGGUGACAAGCGUUGUCCGGAUUUACUGGGCGUAAAGAGCGCGCAGGCGGUCGUUCAAGUCGCGUGUGAAAUCCCCCGGCUCAACUGGGGAGGGUCACGCGAUACUGAUCGACUCGAAGGCAGGAGAGGGUAGUGGAAUUCCCGGUGUAGUGGUGAAAUGCGUAGAUAUCGGGAGGAACACCAGUGGCGAAGGCGACUACCUGGCCUGUUCUUGACGCUGAGGCGCGAAAGCUAGGGGAGCAAACGGG